Molecule: long non-coding RNA, 493 nt
Organism: Rhinopithecus roxellana (golden snub-nosed monkey)
Lineage: Eukaryota; Metazoa; Chordata; Mammalia; Primates; Cercopithecidae
Exons: 3
Source: RefSeq, a predicted model, not a curated record
GUUUGUUGAAAGGAUCAGUAGUAGCUUGACAAUUUUGUCAGAGCUUCCACUAGAGACUGCUUAUAGCACAGUGAAAAGAAGAACUGAGGAAUGAAAAAAAUAAGAGACGUUGGAAUUUGACAGCUGCAAAUAUGUAAAGAACAUUCUUUUCUACGCCAAAGGAAACCAGUCCAUGUUUUAAGCACAGCAAGGGCUUAAAAAUGAAGCGUCUACUCUGCUGGCUACACUUGAGAUGUUCCCAUGCUAUCAGGACACUGCAUGAUGACUUUGGAAGCAAGGAAGCCACCUCCAAUUCACAGAGCUGGUGCUUCUGCCUCAUUCAUGAAAGGACCCACCAAAACCCGAUCCAGUUAUCAGGUUCAUGGGGCUUUGGGAGGGUUGCAUUAGAACUUCAGAAAACACAGCCCCGAGCAUGCAGCCAUCUGAGCAUCUGGGAAAAAGGAAGGUGUUCAUCAUGCUGGUCGAACACACCCUGUGGCAUUUGCUCUGACUG